RNAcentral lists this ribosomal RNA (409 nucleotides) under uncultured bacterium. RNAcentral describes it as "bacterial SSU rRNA". It matches the Rfam family "Bacterial small subunit ribosomal RNA", at positions 1040 to 1451 of the family's 1533-position model. The record is from RNAcentral.
GCUGCAUGGCUGUUGUCAGCUUGUGUUGUGAAAUGUUGGGUUGAGUCCCGCAACGAGCGCAACCCUUUUCCUUGUUUGCCAGCAUUCGGGUGGGAACUCCAGGGAGACUACCGGUGAUAAACCGGAGGAAGGUGGGGAGACGUCAAGUCAUCAUGGCCCCUACGAGUAGGGAUACACACUGCUUUCAAUGGCGCAUACAGAGGGCGGCCAACUUGCGAAAGUGAGCGAAUCCCAAAAAGUGCGUCGUAGUCCGGAUUGGAGUCUGCAACUCGACUCCAUGAAGUAGGAAUCGCUAGUAAUCGUGGAUCAGAAUGCCACGGUGAAUAUGUUCCCGGUCCUUGUACACUCCGCCCGUCACACCAUGGGAGUGGGCUGCAAAAGAAGUGGGUAGUUUCACCUUGGGGAGGAC